This 1259-nucleotide long non-coding RNA is filed under the name Cucumis sativus (cucumber). RNAcentral's name for it is "long non-coding RNA (CSAT_LNC002913)". Lineage: Eukaryota; Viridiplantae; Streptophyta; Magnoliopsida; Cucurbitales; Cucurbitaceae. The record is from RNAcentral.
UCAUUUCAUACACAUAUGCCUCAACAGCAUUUUUCUUCUCUUUGGUCUCCUCCAUUACCCGAUCCUGUAAAGCCAUUUCAAACUCCUUUUCCACCGCUUUUUGGACAUCAGCAGCUGCCAAUCCACCAUAAAUCAUUUCCACUACCGGUAUGUUGGUUUUCUUUACCUUUUUCUUCUGUGCUUCAACCUGAAUGCCAAGAUAUCAGCUAGGUACAAUACAAGAACUACCUACCCACAGAAAACUACUGUGUACCCACCCAACACAACACACCAUGAACCUAAAUUGCUAGAGAAAUAAUAAGCUAAGUUACUCCAACUCAAGUUGCAACUCUAAGACCCUUCAGGGACUCCCAAAGAAAAUGUUAGGCCACCUACUACAAUAUAGUAGGAAGGGUAGUAAGGGAAAAGCACGUGUUUGUGGGAGUGUGGCUGCUGAGAGAACAUUGGGGGACCACAGUUUGUUGAGCAGCCUUUGCCUAUUUCUAUCAAAUAAAUUUUUGUUAGAACGGUGUUCUAUUUUCAACCUGGGACGGAUCAAUAGAACGGUUUAAUUAUCUUAUGAGACAUUGGAGGUGUUUGAACAGGAUGUUUCUGAAUUUAUAUUUUGCUUUUUUAAAAAAAAUUAACUUCCCUGAACUUUUAUUAUUCACACGAGUAUUAUUUAUCUAAAAUUCUAAUGUGUAAAAAGGAUGAAGUACAUUUUAAAUCUUUCAAUUAAGUAUUUCACACACUGAAAUAGAAUAAAAAGAGAAGAAAAUGAAGAAGUAUUCAACACACUGAAAUAGAAUGUUAAAAGAAAGUGGGGAAAAAAUCAGAACCAUGAUGAAGUAGAAUGAAAAGAGAAGGAAAAGGAGACCAGGAUAAUAAGAAAGCCAAUUAGGAAGUGUGACUUCGGAAAUCGAACUGAGAAAAGGCAGAGUUUAAUAUGCCAUAGACCUCCAACUUUACCACACAGACUAUAGCUUAUAAUUCCUAGAUUUAAUUAUUGAGAAAUAAAAAUUAUCCAUAUCGAUAGAGCCCACACAAGAUAAUAUGGAGAAUUCCCCGUACUCACCUUGGAAUCUGUCUCCAUUUGUACGGAAUGUUCUGACUCUGCACUACCAUUUUCAGCUCCAGCAUCUGUGGUUCCUUUGGCAUCUUGCAUGUUAACAUCGUUCUCAUUAGAACUGGGAGGGGCAGCAGUUUCAGCAGGAGCUUCAUCAGUCUCCAUUUUAGCUGGCUGUUCCCUGGUGACUGGAAUAUCCACGUCCUCCUCUUCU